UCUCGUCGUGCUGCUGUGCCUGCUCUGCC
This 29-nucleotide non-coding RNA is filed under the name Homo sapiens (human). Lineage: Eukaryota; Metazoa; Chordata; Mammalia; Primates; Hominidae. The record is from RNAcentral.